UCUGGCAUUGGUGGUCUAGGCAGUCAUUGUAGUCCACACUGCAAUUAUCUCCCACAUAGCCAGGCAUACAUUCACACCUGGAGGCAGGAACAGGAAUGAGAUCCAGUCACUGAGGUGGCCUGGCUAGUGCUCAAAAGAGCAGCAAGCUGCACCAACCAGGAAAUGGCUGAAGCAAUGAAUAUAACUGUCUUUUUUCUAACUCCACUACACAUUAUUUGGUACACAUUCAUGUCCUCCACUUGGUUUUAAAUCUUUUUCUUCUCCCCAAACUCCACUCUUUCCUUCACUCACUUGGGUCCAUCAAGAGAGACUCUACAUAUGGCAUUAUGCUGGCAGGGGCUGAGCUCAGGGGAACAUACAUCCACCGACUGUUCACAAUAUGUCCCUGUGGGAAAAAUACAGUGAUAAGGCAGAAGCAUAACAAAUAGCGUCUCUCCUUGAAUUUGCCUCAUUUUGCCCCAAAGAAAGGAGGAAAGCCCAUAUUUUACCCCAAGAAUUCCUGUUUGCAUUAUAGCAUUAGCGAACAAAAAUACAUAUUCCUGAAUUGUUCACCUUUUGGACCUAUAAGAAGGAAACAUUCAGUCAUUCGAAAUAUCCCUGAUCCCUUUUUAGGUUGGCCAAUUCAAGUGGUUGACUUGCAUUUUUUUUCACUGUUUUGUUCCAGAAUAGCUAUGCAGAAUAAGUAAAUUCUGUGACAUUAAAAUAAACAGAUGGGUUUUUUUUUCUAUUAUGCAGAAACCGUUCAACUUCUUGAACUCAUACAGAAGGACAAGGAGCUACACAUCAUACUGUCAAAGGAGCAAUUGGUUGUGUUCACAGAACGUAUUUAACUUCACUACCGAACUGACUCACUUUCUGGGUUUGUACAAUACAGAUGUUUUCUUAUGGAGAGCACAGAAGAUAAGAGGACGCUACCUCUCUUGACUAUUUCUUGGUCUUCUCUGAUCCCCUUCUGUUUCAAUAUACAUAAUUCUAUGACAUUCUAUUCUUUUAAUGAAAUGUUGCUUUUUGCUAGUUACUGAAAAAAGAAUAUGAAAGAUACACUGGGUUAUACAGGGCAUUCUGGCCUUAUGUUCUACUUUUGUUUAUAACUAUGUGAAGCUUCACUGCAUAUUAGUAACAUCAUGGCCACCUGCUUCUAUUAAGAGAUGCUAUAGACCCCCUUAUCUUCUGCACCAGCUUUAAUUUGUAGCACUACAUCAAUUAAGAACUCAUUGAUAUCUCUUCCUAUUUACUCCUUGUCCAAUUAGAUAUGUAGCAAAGGAAUCCAGGUCACACAUACUCAUCUCGAGUCAGCAAGUUGGAGAAAAUGGAUCUAGAUCAGUGUUUCUCAACCUUGUCAACUUGAAGAUGUCUGGACCUCAACUACCAGAAUUGCUG
This is a long non-coding RNA of Thamnophis elegans (Western terrestrial garter snake), 1380 nucleotides long. RefSeq lists it as uncharacterized. NCBI's taxonomy places the organism in Eukaryota, Metazoa, Chordata, Lepidosauria, Squamata, Natricidae. The transcript is spliced from 3 exons. The record is from RefSeq and is a predicted model, not a curated record.